CGCCAACCCAGACAGGAAGACCACGUCAGUGACUCAACCCACUCAAGUGAUGCACCCCUCCCAGGGAUGGCAUGGAAGAACACCAGUAAGCCAGUGACUCAGCCCUGUCACUGUGCUACAGGUUAGUGUCUGUCUGUGUCACUGUGCUACAGGUUACUGUGUCUAUGUCACUGUGCUACAGGUUAGUGUGACUCUAUGUCACUGUGCUACAGGGUAGUGGGUGUCUAUGUCACUGUGCUACAGGGUAGUGUGUUUAUGUCACUGUGCUACAGGUUAGUGUGUUUGUCACUGUGCUACAGGUUAGUGUGUUUGUCACUGUGCUACAGGUUACUGUGUCUAUGUCACUGUGCUACAGGGUAGUGUGUGUCUAUGUCACUGUGCUACAGGUUAGUGUGUGUCUAUGUCACUGUGCUACAGGUUAGUGUGUGUCUAUGUCACUGUGCUACAGGUUAGUGUGUCUCUAUGUCAUUGUGCUACAGGUUAGUGUGUUUAUGUCACUGUGCUACAGGUUAGUGUGUGUCUCUGUCACUGUGCUGUCAUGACGUUGGCCUGUGGGUAAGGUUUAUGACCCCCCAUAAAUACCUUUCUCCCUUCCCCUCUCUCUCUGACCCUACUGAAGGACUUGAAUAGCCUGUGUUAACCUCUAUGGGCUAGUUGGAACGCUAGCGUGCCACCCGUGGUGCACUCCAUCAACAGCAGGUGCAUUUCAAGAGCGGCAAAUUUGAAUCCAAAUAAAUGUCAAAAUUCAAAUUUUUCAAACAUACAACUAUUUU
RNAcentral lists this long non-coding RNA (773 nucleotides) under Salmo salar (Atlantic salmon). RNAcentral's name for it is "lncRNA (ENSSSAG00000091682.1)". Lineage: Eukaryota; Metazoa; Chordata; Actinopteri; Salmoniformes; Salmonidae. The record is from RNAcentral.